GUCCUAGCCCUAAACGAUGAAUACUUGGUGUCUGGAGUUUUUAUCCUCCGGGUGCCGUCGCUAACGUUUUAAGUAUUCCGCCUGGGGAGUACGCACGCAAGUGUGAAACUCAAAGGAAUUGACGGGGACCCGCACAAGCGGUGGAGCAUGUGGUUUAAUUCGACGCAACGCGAAGAACCUUACCUGGACUAGAAUGUGAGGGAAGGACUUCUAAUAGAGUCCGUCCGGGCAACCGGACCCAAAACAAGGUGCUGCAUGGCUGUCGU
This 266-nucleotide ribosomal RNA is filed under the name uncultured bacterium. RNAcentral's name for it is "partial 16S ribosomal RNA". It matches the Rfam family "Bacterial small subunit ribosomal RNA", at positions 793 to 1055 of the family's 1533-position model. The record is from RNAcentral.